RNAcentral lists this ribosomal RNA (440 nucleotides) under uncultured Methanolinea sp. RNAcentral describes it as "bacterial SSU rRNA". It matches the Rfam family "Archaeal small subunit ribosomal RNA", at positions 898 to 1338 of the family's 1478-position model. Lineage: Archaea; Methanobacteriati; Methanobacteriota; Methanomicrobia; Methanomicrobiales; Methanoregulaceae. The record is from RNAcentral.
CGGUUUAAUUGGACUCAAUGCCGGGCAGCUCACCGGAUAAGACAGCUGGAUGAUAGCCGGGCUGAAGACUCUGCUUGACUAGCUGAGAGGAGGUGCAUGGCCGUCGUCAGUUCGUACUGUGAAGCAUCCUGUUAAGUCAGGCAACGAGCGAGACCCACGCCAACAGUUGCCAGCAUGUCCUCCGGGAUGAUGGGGACACUGUUGGGACCGCUCUGCUAAAGAGGAGGAAGGAAUGGGCAACGGUAGGUCAGCAUGCCCCGAAUUAUCCGGGCUACACGCGGGCUACAAUGGUCAGGACAAUGGGUAUCGACACCGAGAGGUGGAGGCAAUCUCCUAAACCUGUCCUUAGUUCGGAUUGUGGGCUGCAACUCGCCCACAUGAAGCUGGAAUCCGUAGUAAUCGCGUUUCAAAAUAGCGCGGUGAAUAUGUCCCUGCUCCUU